AGUAAGGAAUAUUGGUCAAUGGACGCAAGUCUGAACCAGCCAUGCCGCGUGGAGGAUGAAGGUCCUCUGGAUUGUAAACUUCUUUUAUCUGGGAAGAAAUCCAUCUUUUCUUGGAUGGUUGACGGUACCAGAUGAAUAAGCACCGGCUAACUCCGUGCCAGCAGCCGCGGUAAUACGGAGGGUGCAAGCGUUAUCCGGAUUCACUGGGUUUAAAGGGUGCGUAGGUGGGCAAGUAAGUCAGUGGUGAAAUCUCCGGGCUUAACCCGGAAACUGCCAUUGAUACUAUUUGUCUUGAAUACUGUGGAGGUCAGCGGAAUAUGUCAUGUAGCGGUGAAAUGCUUAGAUAUGACAUAGAACACCAAUUGCGAAGGCAGCUGGCUACACAAAUAUUGACACUGAGGCACGAAAGCGUGGGGAUCAAA
Molecule: ribosomal RNA, 422 nt
Filed under: uncultured Bacteroidota bacterium
Lineage: Bacteria; Pseudomonadati; Bacteroidota
Description: bacterial SSU rRNA
Rfam family: Bacterial small subunit ribosomal RNA
Source: RNAcentral